Molecule: long non-coding RNA, 579 nt
Filed under: Elaeis guineensis (African oil palm)
Lineage: Eukaryota; Viridiplantae; Streptophyta; Magnoliopsida; Arecales; Arecaceae
Description: long non-coding RNA (EGUI_LNC063390)
Source: RNAcentral
GCUUGUCUGUUUAUCGUCGCUGUCGUUGUUGUUUUUGUUGAUUUUUCUUCUUCGGGCUUCCAGGCUCUGUAACGCAUGUUUUGCCAAUGAAAUGAAAAGGUCUUUGCUAUCUUACCCGUAUGUCGCGUUGAACUGUCAUGUGCCGGACUUCUUUCAUUUUUGUUCCGCGUGAUGUCGAUGUUGUUCGAAGAUUUCUCGUUCGUCUAUGCAUUAGGUUGUCAUUGUCGAGUUUCUGGUUCGGUGUCGACGCCGCUUGGAGGUUCCUGGUUAUCGCCGUGUCGGUUUGCCUUUCGUUUGCGACCGUAGAUCUUACUUUCUCUUCCUCCCUCUUCAUAGAGAUGAGGUCCUUUGUUCUUUUAGUAUAGUUUGACCUCCAUUUUUCGUUGGGGUAGGGGGUCACGGUGGCGUAGAAGGGUCGUCGCGAAAGUUUUCUUUUUCUUGCCGGGUCUCGAACAGUCAGACCUCAGUCGACGUCGCGAUGAGGUUCUUCCCCUAUUUCUGAUAUGGUUGGUUUCAGCUCAGGUUAGGAUGAGGUUCUCCUUCUGUUCCUAACGGGGCUGUGGGGGCACAUGUGGGCGC